Molecule: RNA transcript, 1324 nt
Organism: Camarhynchus parvulus
Lineage: Eukaryota; Metazoa; Chordata; Aves; Passeriformes; Thraupidae
Gene: ANAPC10
Gene name: anaphase promoting complex subunit 10
Exons: 8
Source: RefSeq, a predicted model, not a curated record
GGCCGCGCGCGCGCACUGCGGUGCCUCCGCUGCGGCGGCUGUGGCCGCUCCCGGCGGGAUCAGCUUUCAGGUUGAUGAAACUGAAGCUGGGUGUCCACAGAUCUCUUGCUGGAGAAGUAAAUGUCUGGACAGACAUCUCCCAGGUGCAGUCAGCUCUCUCAAAGGCCCUUACAGAAAUGACCACCCCAAACAAGACCCCACCUGGUGCUGAUCCAAAGCAGUUAGAGAGGACUGGUACUGUUAGAGAAAUAGGCUCACAAGCAGUUUGGUCUCUUUCAUCCUGUAAGCCAGGGUUUGGAGUGGAUCAGUUACGAGAUGAUAAUCUAGAAACUUACUGGCAGUCAGAUGGAUCACAGCCUCAUUUGGUGAACAUCCAAUUUAGAAGAAAAACAACAGUGAAGACCUUAUGUAUUUAUGCAGACUACAAAUCUGAUGAAAGUUACACUCCAAGCAAGAUUUCUGUCAGAGUAGGAAAUAAUUUUCAUAAUCUCCAGGAAAUCCGGGAUGGAUGUGCAACUUUUAUAUGGAAGAACUUGGUCUGAUACAGCAGCAAGAUCCAUCAUGAAGAACAUGGUAUUCCCCCAGCUAAAGUCUGACUGCUGCUCUUCUGACCUCUCAGAUGAGUGAGAAACCCCCAUGUCUUGUGACCUGACAUCACUUCAUCUGCAAGUCCUGGGCUGAAAAACAGUCUUCAUCACUUCCCUGUCAUCACUUCCCUCUGCAGUCCCCAGGAGAAAUCUGAGAUCUUCCCAGGAAUGAUGGACAAGAAGCAAGCCCAGACAAUCCUAUUGAUGGGCUUAGGGCAGCAGAACCCGUGAAGAAGCCCUACAAAGGUGCUCAGUACAAUGUUAGGGGCUUCAAAUGAAUUUCAUCAACACAGGGACCAGUAGAUCCAUUAGAGAAACAAAAAGGCAUCUUUUUAGGAGAGAAACAUGACUUAUUGUUGUACAAUGCAAUCUCUUCUCUUCCUCUGUUUUUGUAUAUUGUCCUCCUUAUCUGACUGCCAAUGCUGUAGUGAGUGAAAUAUGUUAGUGAGAUCAAAACUAACCUCCAGAAUUAUUUUUAUGAAGGAAAUAUAUCACUUCAGUUUCUUGGUUAUAUCAGCUUCAGGAUAGUUUUAAGUUGAUUCUUUGGAACAGAUUUGCUAAUUUAUGACAAUAUAAUGAUUUUAUCACCACUAAAUUUCCUCUUGACAUUAAAAAAGAAGACACAAUCAACCACCACAGUAUUAUUCCAUCUAUUGAUAUUAUAAGUAUCUUAAUGGGAUAGCUGUUCAAAAUUCUUUUCAGAGGCAUCAAUUUAUAUUACCUUUGAUUCAACCACA